CCUACGGGAGGCAGCAGUAGGGAAUUUUCCACAAUGGACGAAAGUCUGAUGGAGCAACGCCGCGUGAGUGAAGAAGGGUUUCGGCUCGUAAAGCUCUGUUGGUAGUGAAGAAAGAUAGAGGUAGUAACUGGCCUUUAUUUGACGGUAAUUACUUAGAAAGUCACGGCUAACUACGUGCCAGCAGCCGCGGUAAUACGUAGGUGGCAAGCGUUGUCCGGAUUUAUUGGGCGUAAAGCGAGUGCAGGCGGUUCAAUAAGUCUGAUGUGAAAGCCUUCGGCUCAACCGGAGAAUUGCAUCAGAAACUGGUGAACUGGAGAGCAGAAGAGGAGAGUGGAACGCCAUGGGUAGCGGUGGAAUGCGUAGAUAUAUGGAAGAACACCAGUGGCGAAGGCGGCUCUCUGGUCUGCAACUGACGCUGAGGCUCGAAAGCAUGGGUAGCGAACAGGAUUAGAUACCCCAGUAGUC
Molecule: ribosomal RNA, 465 nt
Filed under: uncultured bacterium
Lineage: Bacteria
Description: partial 16S ribosomal RNA
Rfam family: Bacterial small subunit ribosomal RNA
Source: RNAcentral